GAUGAACGCUGGCGGCGUGCCUAAUACAUGCAAGUCGAGCGAACAGACGAGGAGCUCGCUCCUCUGACGUUAGCGGCGGACGGGUGAGUAACACGUGGAUAACCUACCUAUAAGACUGGGAUAACUUCGGGAAACCGGAGCUAAUACCGGAUAAUAUAUUGAACCGCAUGGUUCAAUAGUGAAAGACGGUUUUGCUGUCACUUAUAGAUGGAUCCGCGCCGCAUUAGCUAGUUGGUAAGGUAACGGCUUACCAAGGCAACGAUGCGUAGCCGACCUGAGAGGGUGAUCGGCCACACUGGAACUGAGACACGGUCCAGACUCCUACGGGAGGCAGCAGUAGGGAAUCUUCCGCAAUGGGCGAAAGCUUGACGGAGCAACGCCGCGUGAGUGAUGAAGGUCUUCGGAUCGUAAAACUCUGUUAUUAGGGAAGAACAAAUGUGUAAGUAACUAUACACGUCUUGACGGUACCGAAUCAGAAAGCCACGGCUAACUACGU
RNAcentral lists this ribosomal RNA (496 nucleotides) under uncultured bacterium. RNAcentral describes it as "partial 16S ribosomal RNA". It matches the Rfam family "Bacterial small subunit ribosomal RNA", at positions 28 to 506 of the family's 1533-position model. The record is from RNAcentral.